Eurytemora carolleeae is the source of this 139-nucleotide long non-coding RNA. RefSeq lists it as uncharacterized. NCBI's taxonomy places the organism in Eukaryota, Metazoa, Arthropoda, Copepoda, Calanoida, Temoridae. The transcript has 2 exons. The record is from RefSeq and is a predicted model, not a curated record.
AGGAUAUGUGUGAGAAGACUGAUUUAAUUAACAAACUCCAGAAGAACUUGGAAACCCUAAACCAACAAUAUUUAUCCCUACAGACCAAAAUGUUGAAAGAUCAGGAGGAAAGGGAAACAGACAAACAGAAUGAAAUGAA